RNAcentral lists this ribosomal RNA (390 nucleotides) under uncultured bacterium. Its description in RNAcentral is "bacterial SSU rRNA". It matches the Rfam family "Bacterial small subunit ribosomal RNA", at positions 409 to 791 of the family's 1533-position model. The record is from RNAcentral.
AGAAGGCCCGAGGGUUGUAAAGCACUUUNNAUUGUGAGGAAGGUAGUGUAGUUAAUACCUGCAUUGCUUGACGUUAACUUUAGAAGAAGCACCGGCUAACUCUGUGCCAGCAGCCGCGGUAAUACAGAGGGUGCAAGCGUUAUUCGGAAUUACUGGGCGUAAAGCGCGCGUAGGCGGACUAUUAAGUCAGUUGUGAAAGCCCUGGGCUCAACCUAGNAACUGCAUCUGAUACUGGUAGUCUAGAGUUUAGGAGAGGGAAGUGGAAUUCCAGGUGUAGCAGUGAAAUGCGUAGAUAUCUGGAGGAACAUCAGUGGCGAAGGCGACUUUCUGGCCUAAAACUGACGCUGAGGUGCGAAAGCAUGGGUAGCGAACGGGAUUAGAUACCCUGGU